Molecule: long non-coding RNA, 708 nt
Filed under: Pan troglodytes (chimpanzee)
Lineage: Eukaryota; Metazoa; Chordata; Mammalia; Primates; Hominidae
Description: long non-coding RNA NONPTRT011424
Source: RNAcentral
AUCACACUUAAAUAUGUGAUUUAAAGUAUUUUUUGCUAAGUAUUCUUUUAGGAAAUCUUGAUUUUGGUGUUAUAUCUAAGAAAUAUUUGACUAAUAUAAAGUCAUAAAACCUUUCCUGUAUGUUUUCAUCUAGAAGUUUUAUAGCUUUAAAGCUUAUAUUUUGGCACUUCCACAUCCAACAUAAAGAAAACAACAAACUCAGAAUAUAUAACACCUUUGGGGACCACUUUUGUAUAUUAUUAUACAGAUCUUAAGAGUAUAUAAUCUUUCUCUGGAGUGUGACAAACCUAAAUCACCGCUACAUCACUUUCCAGAUGUAUAACUUCCAGCAAGGUUCUCUAAUACAGUGCUGAGUCAUAAAAAGUGUUCCAUAAACAAGAGCUAUUGUGAUAACUGACAAUGAUGCUAGUGAUGAUAAUGAUGACAAAAACAAUAAGGCUCUGGAGCAUCUGGUAAAAUGCUAAGUAAUUAAUUGAAAGAAGAAUGAAAACCCAAGCUUUGUGAAGAAGGAAAUCAAGGUAGCUCCAGAGAACUGAGAGGCCGGAUCUUAGAGACCUCCCUCUAGAGCACUGCUAUUUGAAUGACUAAAAUACCAUUAAUAACUACUUUUUGCUUUCAAUUCAAAAUUCAAAAUUCUUAGAAGAGAGAAUCUGAUUGGCAUAAUCAGAUACCUAGCCCUAGAUCAGUCAUCUCUGCCCCCAAGUUAAA